RNAcentral lists this ribosomal RNA (654 nucleotides) under uncultured soil bacterium. Its description in RNAcentral is "bacterial SSU rRNA". It matches the Rfam family "Bacterial small subunit ribosomal RNA", at positions 72 to 705 of the family's 1533-position model. The record is from RNAcentral.
AAACCCCGAAAGGGGUUAGUAGAGUGGCAAACGGGUGAGUAACGCGUGGGUGACCUGCCUUCGAGCGGGGGAUAACGUUCCGAAAGGGACGCUAAUACCGCAUAACAUCCUGCCUUUGAACAGGUGGAGAUCAAAGCUGGGGAUCGCAAGACCCGGCACUUGAAGAGGGGCCCGCGUCUGAUUAGCUAGUUGGUGAGGUAACGGCUCACCAAGGCGACGAUCAGUAUCCGGCCUGAGAGGGCGGACGGACACACUGGGACUGAGACACGGCCCAGACUCCUACGGGAGGCAGCAGUGGGGAAUUGUUCGCAAUGGGCGCAAGCCUGACGACGCAACGCCGCGUGGAGGAUGAAGAUUUUCGGAUCGUAAACUCCUGUCGAAUGGGACGAAUAGGUCACGGCUUAACAUUCCGUGAUCCUGACGGUACCGUUAAAGGAAACCCCGGCUAACUCCGUGCCAGCAGCCGCGGUAAUACGGGGGGGGUAAGCGUUGUUCGGAAUUACUGGGCGUAAAGGGCUCGUAGGCGGCCAACUAAGUCAGACGUGAAAUCCCUCAGCUUAACUGGGGAACUGCGUCUGAUACUGGAUGGCUUGGAUUCGGGAGAGGAAUGCGGAAUUCCAGGUGUAGCGGUGAAAUGCGUAGAUAUCUGGAGGA